This 496-nucleotide ribosomal RNA is filed under the name uncultured bacterium. Its description in RNAcentral is "partial 16S ribosomal RNA". It matches the Rfam family "Bacterial small subunit ribosomal RNA", at positions 30 to 523 of the family's 1533-position model. The record is from RNAcentral.
AUUGAACGCUGGCGGAAUGCUUUACACAUGCAAGUCGAACGGUAGAGGGGGCAACCCCUCGAGAGUGGCGAACGGGUGAGUAAUAUAUCGGAACGUGCCCAGUCGUGGGGGAUAACGUAGCGAAAGUUACGCUAAUACCGCAUACGAUCUAAGGAUGAAAGCGGGGGAUUGCAAGACCUCGCGUGAUUGGAGCGGCCGAUAUCAGAUUAGGUAGUUGGUGGGGUAAAGGCUCACCAAGCCAACGAUCUGUAGCUGGUCUGAGAGGACGACCAGCCACACUGGAACUGAGACACGGUCCAGACUCCUACGGGAGGCAGCAGUGGGGAAUUUUGGACAAUGGACGCAAGUCUGAUCCAGCCAUUCCGCGUGCAGGAUGAAGGCCCUCGGGUUGUAAACUGCUUUUGUAAGGAACGAAAAGGUCUCUCUUAAUACGGGGGGCUCAUGACGGUACCGUAAGAAUAAGCACCGGCUAACUACGUGCCAGCCGCCGCAGUAA